GACGAACGCUGGCGGCGUGCUUAACACAUGCAAGUCGAACGGUAAGGCCCCUUCGGGGGUACACGAGUGGCGAACGGGUGAGUAACACGUGGGUAAUCUGCCCUGCACUUCGGGAUAAGCCUGGGAAACUGGGUCUAAUACCGGAUAUGAGCUCCUGCCGCAUGGUGGGGGUUGGAAAGUUUUUCGGUGCAGGAUGAGCCCGCGGCCUAUCAGCUUGUUGGUGGGGUAAUGGCCUACCAAGGCGACGACGGGUAGCCGGCCUGAGAGGGUGAUCGGCCACACUGGGACUGAGACACGGCCCAGACUCCUACGGGAGGCAGCAGUGGGGAAUAUUGCACAAUGGGCGAAAGCCUGAUGCAGCGACGCCGCGUGGGGGAUGACGGUCUUCGGAUUGUAAACCCCUUUCAGUAGGGACGAAGCGCAAGUGACGGUACCUGCAGAAGAAGCACCGGCCAACUACGUGCCAGCAGCCGCGUAAUACGUCUACUG
RNAcentral lists this ribosomal RNA (489 nucleotides) under uncultured bacterium. RNAcentral's name for it is "bacterial SSU rRNA". It matches the Rfam family "Bacterial small subunit ribosomal RNA", at positions 28 to 534 of the family's 1533-position model. The record is from RNAcentral.